This 431-nucleotide ribosomal RNA is filed under the name uncultured bacterium. RNAcentral describes it as "partial 16S ribosomal RNA". It matches the Rfam family "Bacterial small subunit ribosomal RNA", at positions 29 to 507 of the family's 1533-position model. The record is from RNAcentral.
AACGAACGCUGGCGGCAGGCUUAACACAUGCAAGUCGAGCGCCCCGCAAGGGGAGCGGCAGACGGGUGAGUAACGCGUGGGAACGUACCUGUUGGUUCGGAACAACUCCGGGAAACUGGAGCUAAUACCGGAUAAGCCCUAACGGGGAAAGAUUUAUCGCCGAAAGAUCGGCCCGCGUCUGAUUAGCUAGUUGGUGAGGUAACGGCUCACCAAGGCGACGAUCAGUAGCUGGUCUGAGAGGAUGAUCAGCCACACUGGGACUGAGACACGGCCCAGACUCCUACGGGAGGCAGCAGUGGGGAAUAUUGGACAAUGGGCGCAAGCCUGAUCCAGCCAUGCCGCGUGAGUGAUGAAGGCCUUAGGGUUGUAAAGCUCUUUUGUCCGGGAAGAUAAUGACUGUACCGGAAGAAUAAGCCCCGGCUAACUUCGUG